This 301-nucleotide ribosomal RNA is filed under the name uncultured bacterium. RNAcentral's name for it is "partial 16S ribosomal RNA". It matches the Rfam family "Bacterial small subunit ribosomal RNA", at positions 509 to 807 of the family's 1533-position model. The record is from RNAcentral.
CAGCAGCCGCGGGAAUACGUAGGUGGCAAGCGUUGUCCGGAUUUAUUGGGUUUAAAGGGUGCGUAGGCGGCUAUUUAAGUCAGCGGUGAAAGACUCCGGCUCAACCGGAGCAGUGCCAUUGAUACUGGAUAGCUUGAGUGUUGGAGGGGUACAUGGAAUUGAUGGUGUAGCGGUGAAAUGCAUAGAUACCAUCAGGAACACCGAUAGCGAAGGCAUUGUACUGGCCAACAACUGACGCUGAGGCACGAAAGCAUGGGGAGCGAACAGGAUUAGAUACCCGCGUAGUCCCUGUCUCUUAUAC